Molecule: transfer RNA, 96 nt
Filed under: Agrobacterium salinitolerans
Lineage: Bacteria; Pseudomonadati; Pseudomonadota; Alphaproteobacteria; Hyphomicrobiales; Rhizobiaceae
Description: tRNA-Tyr
Rfam family: tRNA
About the family: Transfer RNA (tRNA) molecules are approximately 80 nucleotides in length.
Source: RNAcentral
GGGUAAACGGCAACGACGGAUAAGGGGUUGCACCGGACUGUAAAUCCGGAACGGCGUAAUGGUACUGUGGGAGUUCGAGUCUCUCUUUACCCACCA